This 366-nucleotide ribosomal RNA is filed under the name uncultured soil bacterium. RNAcentral describes it as "bacterial SSU rRNA". It matches the Rfam family "Bacterial small subunit ribosomal RNA", at positions 26 to 382 of the family's 1533-position model. The record is from RNAcentral.
AGAGUGAACGCUGGCGGUAGGCCUAACACAUGCAAGUCGAACGGCAGCACAGUAGGAGCUUGCUCUUACGGGUGGCGAGUGGCGGACGGGUGAGGAAUACAUCGGAAUCUACCUUUUGGUGGGGGAUAACGUAGGGAAACUUACGCUAAUACCGCAUACGCCCUUCGGGGGAAAGCCGGGGACCAGCAAUGGCCUGGCGCUGAUAGAUGAGCCGAUGGCGGAUUAGCUAGUUGGUGAGGUAAUGGCUCACCAAGGCGACGAUCCGUAGCUGGUCUGAGAGGAUGAUCAGCCACACUGGAACUGAGACACGGUCCAGACCUCCGUACGGGAGCAGCAGGUGGGGAAUAGUUGGACAAGUCGGGGACG